UCCCUCUCUUAAAACUGCAAGGAGGAGGACGUUUUUGCAGAAAUGUCCACAUCACGCCUAUUCAAUCUCUUUGGAACUUCAAUUUUCCGCAACCAUCAAGCCACCGCCUUCCUCUCCUCAAUCCCGCUUCCAUUUCGACCCCUUAAACUCUUUUCUUCCCCCUCUUUACGCUCCCACCGGUGCUGUUCUUCCGCCGCGGUUCUUGAAGCCAACACUCCAGCUAUUAGUUUCACUUCUGGUAGCCCAGCAGUCACUUUGACUUCAGCUUCUCAUCCCUGGCCUGAAUGGGUCUCAUUUGUUGAUAGGUUGAAGACUAAAGGCUACUUUCCUCCUGAAAAUGCCCCCACGGCCGAGGAUACGGCUGAGCCUGGUGCUCAUGGUGUUUAUACUGAUAUGAAUUUGUUGAAGGAUGCUUGUCUUAACUUUUCUCGUGACCGUUUUGAUAUCUUCAAGUCAUUAUCCAGGCAAGAAAUUCAGACUGUUGUAGGCAAGGGAUGUCCUAAUCUUCUUCGGAAGGCUGUGAAUUCUGCCAAACGGUUGCGAGUGUAUCUAGGACUUGAUGAAGGAGAUGUAUGCGGUGCUUGUCAUCUUCGUGGAUCAUGUGAUAGAGCGUAUGUCAUAUUGAAGGAAUCUGAAGCUGCUGCGAGGACUGUAGAUAUUGUGCGUAUCUUGUUGGCCUAUGCUUUAGAUCCAAUUGUUAUUGAUGGAAAAGUGAAGCCUCAGGACAUAGAGAUCAUUGAAGUAUCGGUAAGAAACUUGCUACAUGAGUUAACUGAGUUAAGUGAGACAACUCGUGCACCGGACCUUCCAGAGCCUGUUGUCAAUGUUCCUCAGCCAAAGAAGAAGUCUUUUACUUUCGUAAAGGAUGUUGAAAUGAAAAGAGGGGAUUGGAUCUGUUCCCAAUGCAAUUUCAUGAACUUUGCAAGAAACGUAAGCUGCCGUGAGUGUGGAGAAGAUGGACCUAAAGCAAUGAACUCAGAUGACAUUGAAAUGAAAAAAGGAGACUGGAUUUGUUCAGAAUGCAACUUCAUGAACUUUGCCAGAAAUGUGAAAUGCGUGAAAUGCAAAGCAGGUGGUCCAAAGAGGGUUCCGAUGAAAGAUGUCCAAAUGAAAAAGGGAGACUGGAACUGUCCACAAUGUGGUUUCAUGAAUUUUGCCAGCAAUGCUAAAUGCUUGCGCUGCCAUGAUUCACGACCAAAGAGGCAGCUAAGACCUGGAGACUGGGAGUGCCCCUCGUGUAAUUUCUUAAAUUUCAAAGGCAAUAUUGUGUGCAAGAAGUGCAACCAUGAAGGCCCAAAAGAUGUGGGACACACAGUAUGAAGAGCAGAUAUGGAAGAAGCCUUUUUAAGAAACUUGUUUAUGGUAAGGCACUUAAGUUCACAUGUGAAAUCUGCUUCUUUAAUACACUAGCAUGGAAGAUAAUUUACUCGAAAAGAGAUUCUGAGGCUUCAACUGGAGGAUACUCUGAAACAGGCUGACACAACCAAAACUUCCAACGCAUGGCUUCUGCAAAUGGAAAGUUUUCUUUGUCCUAUGGCAUUGUGUGCAUAAAAAGUUGCAAUCGCAAGUUUUUGAAGCAUGGCAUGAAUCUUCCGUCAAAUGGUUCUUUAAGAAGGAGGAGAGGGAGAGAUUCUUAGAUGUGCAAGAUCCGAGAGCACCAUUGGAGGCCAUGCAAAUAGAUCGCAAGCCUGAAAUCUGCUAGUAUUUUGGAUUCGAAUACCUGAGCACAUAUUUAGUGUUAUCCUUACUUUCUCAAAUUUGCAUAAAUUUUGUUUAGA
Coffea eugenioides is the source of this 1778-nucleotide RNA transcript. It is a transcript of the gene named zinc finger protein VAR3, chloroplastic, with no coding region annotated. The record is from RefSeq and is a predicted model, not a curated record. The transcript is spliced from 8 exons. NCBI's taxonomy places the organism in Eukaryota, Viridiplantae, Streptophyta, Magnoliopsida, Gentianales, Rubiaceae.